This 473-nucleotide ribosomal RNA is filed under the name uncultured bacterium. Its description in RNAcentral is "bacterial SSU rRNA". It matches the Rfam family "Bacterial small subunit ribosomal RNA", at positions 355 to 825 of the family's 1533-position model. The record is from RNAcentral.
UGGGGAAUUUUGGACAAUGGGGGCAAGCCUGAUGACGCAACGCCGCGUGGGGGAUGAAGGUCUUCGGAUCGUAAACCCCUGUCGAAUGGGACGAAAGACUCGCGAGUGAAUACUUCGCGAGAGUGACGGUACCGUUAAAGGAAGCCACGGCUAACUCUGUGCCAGCAGCCGCGGUAAUACAGAGGUGGCAAGCGUUGUUCGGAAUUACUGGGCGUAAAGGGCGCGUAGGCGGCCCUCUAAGUCAGACGUGAAAUCCCCCGGCUUAACCUGGGAACUGCGUCUGAUACUGGAGGGCUUGAGUAUGGGAGAGGGAUGUAGAAUUCCAGGUGUAGCGGUGAAAUGCGUAGAUAUCUGGAGGAAUACCGGUGGCGAAGGCGGCAUCCUGGACCAUUACUGACGCUGAGGCGCGAAAGCUAGGGGAGCAAACGGGAUUAGAUACCCUUGUAGUCCCUGAGCGGGCUGGCAAGGCGCAU